RNAcentral lists this long non-coding RNA (394 nucleotides) under Helianthus annuus (common sunflower). RNAcentral's name for it is "sRNA HanXRQr2_Chr02g0046921". The record is from RNAcentral. Lineage: Eukaryota; Viridiplantae; Streptophyta; Magnoliopsida; Asterales; Asteraceae.
UUUUUCUCUCUAUUGUUCUUUUCUUUUAUUGUGUUAUUAGGUCAGUUUCACAACACGUUAUCAGCAUGAAAGCGUUUUUCUCAUAAACACUAGUUUCCAAGCCAUCGUCGUCACCGUAAAUCCAACACUUUUUCUCAUUCCCCCCCCCCCGACAAUCUGUCCAUCUGCAGAGAACCACAUAUCCCUGCUCUUGUUACUCGAUGAUUAAAUUUGAUCGAUAGCUACCUCAUCCAUAGAAUAUACGGAUGCGAAAAUCACUGAAUUUGAAAGGUCAUUAGGUGAUUGGAACAGGAGCUUGUUGGCUGGAGAGCAGGAGAGCAGGAGUGGUCAUGGUCAUGUUGAGGACUUAAUUAUCAAACACUUAUUUAUUAUGAUCGUUUAGUAUUUACUUUUU